UUCACCCCCGGAGCCCGACCCAUGCACUAACGCUAACAGCAGUAGAGCGUAGAUCACUACGGUUUCGGCCUCUGUCUGACAAUAUCCUAUGUCAAACUGUUACUGCAUAGUAAAUGGUGAACGAUGAAUGCUAAAAUCGUCAUCUACUGAAAUGGAUCUGUAUGAAAAUAUUUGACACGUAAUAUCUCUUUCCCAGAAACCGUUCCCACCAAAAGACUGAGCUAUUUACACUCGGUUCUAUUUACGGUUCAUAUUGUGGUGAUUUCGGUUCUGUCUGUAAACAGCAUGAUAUUUAGCUAGUGUAGUUGACAGAAAAUGGAUACAUAUAUAUGUGUGAGUAUAUUGUUUCGCUAAAAGUCAUAUUUCUUGUAGUUUGGCGAUCACAUGUCAACAAAUUGUUUUCGCGGUAGAAAUAGCGAGAUCGCGCAACAUCUCAUCGGUGACAGGUCAAAUUGUUCCAUGCACAAAAACUAUCCGGCAUGACAUCAAAAGUGCUCCCGCAUAACCUUAGUUAUGGUUACAAGUAUUUAACAUUUAUAGAGCAAAACCAGUAAUUACAAAGACACAAUUCUAGAAUUUAUCGAUCUUGGUUAAAUAGUAGUUUAGAUAGCAUAUUUUACCGAUCACUGCUCCAGAUUUCAUCUCGUUAUAUUACUGGGUAUGUUUUAAAUAAAUCACCGGUAGAUCGCCUAGGAACGUGUGCACAGCUGAUUGCUAUUUCCGGUUCUGUAUACGACAAAUAUGCACACGUAAUCUUUAUCCCUGCAUAUAAUAAAAUGCCCAGCGUGAACAAAUUACAACUGAAAAGGUCAGAUCAUCUGCGUCUCCUCGGCAUCUCAUCCCUUCAGCUAUGAAGUGAAGUUCCUUCACCCAACCAGUAUUCCUGGGCAGUUUAAGUAUCCAUCCAGGGAUGACCAGUCCAUCAUCAGAUGUCAGUUUAUUUUUUUAAGUAGCCUCAGCCAUCCUGAGCCGAAAUCUGGUGGGAGAAUGUUUUUCCUCCCACAAUAUCUACAACUUCAAUCAGCAUAUGAAGACUACAAACAGAGGUAUUGGGCAGCAUAGACAUGUGGGAAGGUGUCCAGUGAAGAAGCUUUAUGUCUGUUACUCAUGCUGAGAUAGACAAUUUUGUGUGAUUUUUGUUUAAACAAUGACACUUCUAGUGAUACCAAUUAGGUUAUG
This is a long non-coding RNA of Haliotis rubra (blacklip abalone), 1179 nucleotides long. RefSeq lists it as uncharacterized. The transcript has 3 exons. The record is from RefSeq and is a predicted model, not a curated record. Lineage: Eukaryota; Metazoa; Mollusca; Gastropoda; Lepetellida; Haliotidae.